Molecule: long non-coding RNA, 501 nt
Filed under: Panax ginseng (ginseng)
Lineage: Eukaryota; Viridiplantae; Streptophyta; Magnoliopsida; Apiales; Araliaceae
Description: long non-coding RNA (PGIN_LNC010594)
Source: RNAcentral
AGAGAAUUGAUCUGCAUGUGAUGAUUAACACAAUGGAAUAUGUUAGUACAGAUGGUUUCAGUAAGUCUAAUCGAUCUUCUUUCCCCAUUCAAAAGAAGAAAUAAUUAAAACAAAGGGUGUGCAAGAGAUCAUGAUGUUAGCUCCAAUAAUAUAAUAUUCUAAUCUUAGUAAGCAACAAGUGGAGAAUAAUCAGAAAGUUACUAACACAAAAAAUCUCAAAUAACCCAAAUUCUCCAUCAGACAGAUAAAAGGCAUAGUUGAGUUGAGGUGAGCAAAAGAGUUAUCGAUAAGACCUAAGAAUGGCACCACAAAAGGUGCACAUGAUAGCUUUCCAAGACCUCCGGUAAAAGGGAACAUGGCAGAAUCUGGUGGCAGUUUUCAUGUCUGCCACGCUAGCCCCGCCUCCGCACCUCGAGCAUAUUCCGGCAGCUGGUUUGCUCCUCCUCACUUUCUUUGUCUGAUCAACCAGAAAGCAGAAACAUACCAUUUUUUUUUGGUUUU